This 353-nucleotide long non-coding RNA is filed under the name Physcomitrium patens. Its description in RNAcentral is "long non-coding RNA (PPAT_LNC002175)". Lineage: Eukaryota; Viridiplantae; Streptophyta; Bryopsida; Funariales; Funariaceae. The record is from RNAcentral.
AUCUGUGACCUUGAGAAUUGAUAUUAUUGAAUUGUGUUGUAUUAAGUGAAGAUAUUGAAUUUUGUAUGAUGAAUUGAGAAACUGAAUAUAAUAAGUAAGUUGGAGAUCAAUAAUUGAAUAUAUAUAAACCACAAAGAGAGUAAGCGGGACAUGAAAUGAUAAGAAUAUGGAAGUAUUGUUGAAUUGAUAUUCAUAGAAUGGAUUAUGUGUUGAAUUAAGACGGAAGUAGUAAGCCUUAGUAUUUUGUAGUUUGAUAAUUGAUUUUAGAUAGCUAGACUACAGUCAAUUGUGACACUAACAGACCCAAUUCAUAUAACUAGUCUUUCCUCGUAUUCGAACCCACCUCUAUUAGU